RNAcentral lists this ribosomal RNA (516 nucleotides) under Triticum aestivum (bread wheat). RNAcentral's name for it is "partial small subunit ribosomal RNA". The record is from RNAcentral. Lineage: Eukaryota; Viridiplantae; Streptophyta; Magnoliopsida; Poales; Poaceae.
GCCUCCGUUAUCUCUUUCGGAAUGGACUGGGAGAAGUGCCUUCCAUUUGCCGAAUUCGCUUACAACAACAGCUAUCAAUCUAGCUUGGGUAAAGCCCCUUUUGAAGUUCUCUAUGGACGACGAUGUCGAACACCCCUUAACUGGUCAGAGACCGGGGAAAGACAAUUCUUUGGCCCGGAUAUGAUUCAGGAAGCAGAAGAACAAGUUCGUAUCGUUCGUGAAAAAUUGAAAACAGCCCAAUCCCGUCAAAAGAGUCAAUAUGACCGAAAACAUAAGGCUAUGACUUUCGAGGUUGACGAGAAGGCUUAUCUUCGGGUCACCCCUCUGAAGGGAACCCAUCGUUUCGGUAUCAAAGGCAAAUUGGCUCCUCGUUACAUUGGACCUUUUCGCAUUCUUGCCAAACGAGGAGAAGUUGCCUACCAGUUGGAACUACCUCCGCACCUCUCCAGAGUUCACGAUGUCUUCCACGUUUCUCAACUCAGGCGUUGCUUCUCGGAUCCUAUCCGUGAAGUGGAC